UUUAUCAUAAAUGGGUGGUGAAUUUUGUCAAAAGCUUUUUCUGCAUCUAUUGAGAUGACCAUAUGAUUUUGAUUCUUCAAUUUGUUGAUGUGGUGUACCAUACUGAUUGAUCUGUGUAUAUCAAAGGAGGUUGGUCCAGGGGCUUAAGCAGGCUUUUUGGUGGGAGGGACUGGUUCCUGCCCACUGGUGGGUGGAGCUGGGUCAUGUCCCUCUGGUGGGCAGGGCCGUGUCAGGAGGUAUAUUUAGCUGGUAGCUGUGUGCUCAGGAAGACUUUAAGCAGCCUGUCUGUUGAUGGGUGGGGCUGUGUUCCCACCCCAUUGUUUGUUUGGCCGGCAAACAAGGUGUCCCAGCACAGGAGCCUACAGGCUGUUGGGUGGGGCCAGGUCUUGGUGAGAAAAUGGCGGGCUCCCAGAGGGCUCAUGCCAGUGAGAACUUCCCAGAACUACCACUGCCAGUGUCUUUGUCCCUGCAGUGAGCCACACCCCGCCUUCACAGGAGACCCUCCAAUACCAGCAGCGGCAUGCUCCCUCACGGCACAAGGUGUUCUCAAGGGAAGCACUCCCUGUUAUGAUAUCGGAUACAACGCCUCAACCUGAUAAAUCUGGACAUUCACAGAGGCUUUCAGGAUAAAGUGUCUAUAUCAAAUGGCUUCCAGGAUGGCCAGAGAACCUCUUUUAACAACCCUGGCAGACCACAGAAGCAGAGCUAUAAAGUGAAAAGGAAACCUGAGAUGACAAAGAAUAGCCACAGGCCUGUGUGCCCCAAGAAAUGGUUGACUAUCACCCCCUCAAUAAUGACAAGGUGAAAAGUGAGCAAUUACAGCCUCAGAAUUCCAGAUGUGUCUCUUCUUAACAUCACGCAAGCAGGACAGGACAGGAGCUGGGAAUGCUGCAGCCAGGAGGACCCCAUCCAGAUCGUUACAAACAGCACCCCCAGAUCAUUUGAUCUUAGGGAAGAAAAGGGAAUCAAACCCUGUGCCCCUGACAGGAAAUGACAGGAUGAACAUUUUCCUGGCUAAAAGUUUGAAAUAUACACCUCUGCCACACACAAAAUUUUCACCCGUUAUUUCUUUCCUUAUACUUUCCUCAUUUAAAAUGUACAAUUUCACAGACUAAUCCAGUUUAUACACCCUAAAUGCAUGACACCCAUUUUUUCAGUUAUUCAGUCAGUAUUUACGGAGCACCAACCACGUGCCAGGCAUCGUUUCGUUCACUGCCAAAGCUUCAGUCCCUAAAACAAAGUUGCUGCUCUCAGAGUUCUGACUUCCCCAUGCUUUGCUAAUGGUUUCCUGCAUGAGCCCUCACAUACAACACCGUCCUUUUUUAAGAUAACAUUUUUUGAGGGUUUAUGCGUGUCAGGCACUGAACACCAUUAAUUCAUUUAAUUCUCACAGCACCCCUGUGAGGUGGUACGAUUUCUAUCCCCUCUUUAAGGAUGAAGAAUUUGAAAUUUAAAGACAGGAUAAGUAACUUACCCAAGGCUACAAAGCUAGUAAAUCACUGAUAGGAUUAAAAUGUAGGUCCAGUUCCAAACUCCUCCAUCUUAAUCCCUACGCUAAACUGCCUUCGAAACUUCUUAAAUAUAGUUGGCUAUGAUGGACAUAUUUGGUUUA
This is a long non-coding RNA of Aethalodelphis obliquidens (Pacific white-sided dolphin), 1612 nucleotides long. RefSeq lists it as uncharacterized. The record is from RefSeq and is a predicted model, not a curated record. The transcript is spliced from 4 exons. Lineage: Eukaryota; Metazoa; Chordata; Mammalia; Artiodactyla; Delphinidae.